CGAAGCAACGCGAAGAACCUUACCUAAGCUUGACAUCCCAAUGACAUCUCCUUAAUCGGAGAGUUCCCUUCGGGGACAUUGGUGACAGGUGGUGCAUGGUUCUCGUCAGCUCGUGUCGUGAGAUGUUGGGUUAAGUCCCGCAACGAGCGCAACCCUUGUCUUUAGUUGCCAUCAUUAAGUUGGGCACUCUAGAGAGACUGCCAGGGAUAACCUGGAGGAAGGUGGGGAUGACGUCAAAUCAUCAUGCCCCUUAUGCUUAGGGCUACACACGUGCUACAAUGGGUAGUACAGAGGGUUGCCAAGCCGUAAGGUGGAGCUAAUCCCUUAAAGCUACUCUCAGUUCGGAUUGUAGGCUGAAACUCGCCUACAUGAAGCUGGAGUUACUAGUAAUCGCAGAUCAGAAUGCUGCGGUGAAUGCGUUCCCGGGUCUUGUACACACCGCCCGUCACACCACGGGAGUUGGAGACGCCCGAAGCCGAUUAUCUAACCUUUUGGAAGAAGUCGUCGAAGGUGGAAUCAAUAACUGGGGUGAAGUCGUAACAAGGUAGCCGUAUCGGAAGGUGCGGCUGGAUCACCUCCUUUCUAAGGA
Molecule: ribosomal RNA, 589 nt
Filed under: Clostridioides difficile
Lineage: Bacteria; Bacillati; Bacillota; Clostridia; Peptostreptococcales; Peptostreptococcaceae
Description: bacterial SSU rRNA
Rfam family: Bacterial small subunit ribosomal RNA
Source: RNAcentral